CACCCCUGGGCCGCCUCUCCGUGUCAGUGACCUGCGGUCUCAGGGCGUACCCAGCCUCCUCCCAUCACCCGGUGGCCGGCAGGGCCCCAGACAGGGGGGGAAGCCUGUCUCCCACCCCACAUGGCCCCUCUGCCAGGGUGCCUUUGGAGGGAGGGCAGUCAGCAAUGGGUGGCACCUUGACACCACCCCCGCGCCUCAGAGAGCACGUGUUGUGCAGCAGCAGCAGCAGCACGACUGUGUGUGUGAGCUUCCAUCGCUCUGCACCCCAAAGACCAGGAAACUGAGCCCCUGAGGGGCUUGCCCGAGGGUUAACAGAAGCAGAAGUCGACUGUAAAGACUCUCCGAGGUGUGAACUAUGCUCUGAGUCACUCUCAGGAACGCUCCUGUCAAGAAGAAAGCCCUUCAAACACCACUUGCUGCCCUGCUGUGACACCCUUGGAGGCCUGAAAACCGCCGGGUAAAUCAGGCUGCCACGUACCCCAUAGGCAAGUCUGUGGCUGGGUCAGGGGGCAGGAGGAGUGGGGAGAGGAAGCCAUCCUACAUGGAGGUGGGGGUUUAGGAAUGUCUGGAGACCCACAACCUUACUGUCUCAUCUCUGACCCUCAACUCCCCACCUCAGACUCCAGAUCAGCUCCUGGUCUCCUCAGCAUGGGAAAGGCAAACUCCUCAGUUUGGCAUUCGAGGCCAUCCAGGAGAGGACUCCAGCUGGUCCCUACACACACCUUGCACCAAAGCCAAGCCAGUGUCGAAAUGCCCGCCUCUCACGCUGUCGCCAGCCACGCCACAAGGAGCACCCUCACUCCCCAUCACCGUGCAGUUCAUAAUCCCAUGAAGAGCCCCCAUUACCCCUGACUGUCUGCCGUGUGCCAGGCACUGGCCUCGCCGAGGAGGAAACCACCCAUCUCCUGUGAUCGCAAUGCCAACUGCCUUGGGAAU
This is a long non-coding RNA of Nyctereutes procyonoides (raccoon dog), 936 nucleotides long. RefSeq lists it as uncharacterized. NCBI's taxonomy places the organism in Eukaryota, Metazoa, Chordata, Mammalia, Carnivora, Canidae. The record is from RefSeq and is a predicted model, not a curated record. The transcript has 4 exons.